AACAACUACACUAUAUUCAGCUAUCACAUUUGCCUUUACAUUGCUUUUCAUCAUUUCUUUUUACAUCACAUUUGCUCAAAGUAAAACAUUACAUUCUUUUCUUUCUUUGCUUUAUACAUCAGCAUCUUCAAAUACAAAAGAAGUUAGAAGGGUAAGCUACUAACAAAGUAUAAAACCCGACUCGGGUAGCCUCUGUCUACGGCGCGAUACCUUUACCGCGGUCGCUCGCCGGCUCACUCGGUCCCGGCUCUGU
Molecule: long non-coding RNA, 253 nt
Filed under: Ananas comosus (pineapple)
Lineage: Eukaryota; Viridiplantae; Streptophyta; Magnoliopsida; Poales; Bromeliaceae
Description: long non-coding RNA (ACOM_LNC032824)
Source: RNAcentral